GUGGGGAAUUUUGGACAAUGGGCGCAAGCCUGAUCCAGCAAUGCCGCGUGCAGGAAGAAGGCCUUCGGGUUGUAAACUGCUUUUGUCAGGGAAGAAAUCUUCUGGGCUAAUACCCCGGGAGGAUGACGGUACCUGAAGAAUAAGCACCGGCUAACUACGUGCCAGCAGCCGCGGUAAUACGUAGGGUGCGAGCGUUAAUCGGAAUUACUGGGCGUAAAGCGUGCGCAGGCGGCUUUGCAAGACAGAUGUGAAAUCCCCGGGCUCAACCUGGGAACUGCAUUUGUGACUGCAAGGCUAGAGUACGGCAGAGGGGGAUGGAAUUCCGCGUGUAGCAGUGAAAUGCGUAGAUAUGCGGAGGAACACCAAUGGCGAAGGCAAUCCCCUGGGCCUGUACUGACGCUCAUGCACGAAAGCGUGGGGAGCAAACAGGAUUAGAAACCCUAGUAGUCC
This 450-nucleotide ribosomal RNA is filed under the name uncultured bacterium. RNAcentral describes it as "partial 16S ribosomal RNA". It matches the Rfam family "Bacterial small subunit ribosomal RNA", at positions 354 to 796 of the family's 1533-position model. The record is from RNAcentral.